GUGAGGAAUAUUGCGCAAUGGAGGCAACUCUGACGCAGCCAUGCCGCGUGCAGGAAGAAGGCGCUACGCGUUGUAAACUGCUUUUAACCGGGAAGAAACCCCAGGACGUGUCCUGGGUUGACGGUACCGGAGGAAUAAGCACCGGCUAACUUCGUGCCAGCAGCCGCGGUAAUACGAAGGGUGCAAGCGUUAUCCGGAUUCAUUGGGUUUACAGGGUGCGUAGGCGGAGCGUUAAGUCAGUGGUGAAAUCCUGCAGCUUAACUGUAGACUUGCCAUUGAUACUGGCGCUCUUGAGUGCGCUUGAAGUGGGCGGAAUGUGCCGUGUAGCGGUGAAAUGCUUAGAUAUGGCACAGAACACCAAUUGCGAAGGCAGCUCACUAAGGCGAUACUGACGCUGAGGCACGAAAGCGUGGGGAUCGAACAGGAUUAGAAACCCCAGUAGUCC
Molecule: ribosomal RNA, 445 nt
Filed under: uncultured bacterium
Lineage: Bacteria
Description: partial 16S ribosomal RNA
Rfam family: Bacterial small subunit ribosomal RNA
Source: RNAcentral